GAUGAACUACUUUCUUAUCAUCGUCAAAUUUUUUUCACUUGAGGUUUAGAGUAUAAAAGCGGGCGGUCCAUUGCCGAAAGUUAUAUCUUCUUUAUCUCCUGCAGUGAGUAAGAAAAUCUCAACUUCACCAUGCAUUACUUGUUCGCUAUCCUUGUCUUGGUGGCCCUGAUGGCAGUGGCCUUCGCUCAGUGGCCAUACUAUGGGACCUACUACAACACUCAUGCCCUGGCUUACCCCUAUGCCUAUAACUACGGCGUCUACAACCCAGCUCUCACCUACUUGUGGAAGAAAUGAACGUAGCAAAUGAGAAAAGUUCGCAAUGAAAGAAGAUGAUGAACUAUGUCGAAGAUGAUGGAAAUAUCUUAAUUCCUUUUACCUUUGCUCGUUCAAAUUCUCGAUAUCUUUCUGUUUCCAUUUCUGAAAUAAAAAAAAAAUUAAAAUGGAAAUUCACCA
This is a long non-coding RNA of Stegodyphus dumicola, 453 nucleotides long. Lineage: Eukaryota; Metazoa; Arthropoda; Arachnida; Araneae; Eresidae. The record is from RefSeq and is a predicted model, not a curated record.